Long non-coding RNA from Asparagus officinalis (garden asparagus), 1101 nucleotides. RefSeq lists it as uncharacterized. The record is from RefSeq and is a predicted model, not a curated record. The transcript has 4 exons. NCBI's taxonomy places the organism in Eukaryota, Viridiplantae, Streptophyta, Magnoliopsida, Asparagales, Asparagaceae.
GGGCCUUCGUAUCUCUCGUCUUCCCCCAAAACCGAAACCCUAAGCGAGCCUCUCCUCUCCCUUUUCUUCUUCCAAAUUCUUCCCAAGAAAAAAAAAACUCUAGCUUUUCGGUGCCCCUAUCUUCUCAAUUCUCGCGGAGAUCCAGGGUUUUCUGCCCUAAAUCGUUAAAGAUUCGACGAUCCAAGGCGGAAGAGGAGCCUAUCUCAAGCAGAGGGUUUUCUGCCCUAAAUCGUCAAAGAUUCGACGAUCCAUGGUGAGAGAGGAGCUGAUCUCAAGCGAUUUCAAGGUAAAUUCUCCCAUCCUCAAGUUCCCAUCGCUGGAUCCAUGGUGGGGAAGUACUUCGAAGAAAAUCAAAGUUGGGAAAGUUUGUUCAGUGUAAGCAUUUAUUGAGGUUGUAUAUGUUCACUUAUUGGCACUCCUUUGAGUUUGUACCAAGGGGCUUCCUCAACUCUUCCCUAUAGCCUCGGGUUAGAACCGGAUUGACUCUAAUUUAAUAUUGAGGACAAAAUAUGCACAAGCUCAAUUCUGUGGACUGUGACUUUUACCUGAAAUUCAUCAUACUGCAGAGUUUGGAGUCUCUGAUUCAAUACUGAUUGUGAAAAGAGGACGGAUGAAUCGAGAACCUAACCUCAUACGGAUGCACUUAGUGUGAAAGCUACUGCAACAUCUCAUCAGAUCCCAAGUCGAUAGGCAAAUGCGAACUCCAGCUUCCCCCAGUGGUGCAUCAUUGAGUAAAGAAAGACCAGCAGAGAAGCAAAUACUUUCAGGUUUGAGCUUAUUAUUCUGAUGGUAAGAGUAGGAGAUGGUGUAGUUCCAGCAAGAGCACUGCUGGUGUUAAUUACACUGGGAUUGACAAUCCUUUAAGAAAGAUAGAAAAUAUAACCAACAUAUCAAAAUGAAUGGACUCUAGAAUCAAUGAGCAUCAGUUUAGAAUCUCAGUGAGGCAGCAGAGUUAAUUUAAUUCAAGUAUGGAAGUCCGAAUAAUAAGGGGAACUCUUGCAAGAUUAUUGGCUUGGUAUUUGAUAGCAAAAUCCUAUAGAAAGGGGGCCCAAAGUCAAAUUUGAAGGUUGUGAUUCAAUGGAAUUGUAGGUUUUCAGUUUG